Molecule: unclassified non-coding RNA, 345 nt
Filed under: soil metagenome
Description: partial contains 5.8S ribosomal RNA, internal transcribed spacer 2, and large subunit ribosomal RNA
Rfam family: 5.8S ribosomal RNA (bases 1-120)
Source: RNAcentral
GAUGAAGAACGUAGCGAAAUGCGAUAAGUAGUGUGAAUUGCAGAAUUCAGUGAAUCAUCGAAUCUUUGAACGCACAUUGCGCCCCUUGGUAUUCCAUGGGGCAUGCCUGUUCGAGCGUCAUUUCAACCCUCAAGCCCUGCUUGGUGUUGGGCGUUUGUCCUGCCUCCGCGCGGGACUCGCCUCAAAGACAUUGGCGGCCGGUUUCCCUUUGCAGGCCACGAGCGCAGCACAGCGAGCGCUCUACGUGGACGCGGGGCCGGCGCACCAGAAGCCCUCUUUCUCGAAUUUUGACCUCGGAUCAGGUAGGGAUACCCGCUGAACUUAAGCAUAUCAAUAAGCGGAGGA